AACGAACCAACCCUUUAGAAUUAGAAGUGCUUGCACGGAAGAGGAAAAAGGAAUUUUGGUUAGUGGCGAACGGGUGAGUAAUGCAUAAGAAACCUACCCAACAGACUGGGAUAACUACUGGAAACGGUAGCUAAUACCGGAUAUGAUAUAACUUGGCAUCAAGUUAUAUUGAAAGGUGCUACGGCACUACUGAUGGAUGGUCUUGUGUUGUAUUAGCUAGUUGGUAAGGUAAGAGCUUACCAAGGCGACGAUACAUAGCCGACCUGAGAGGGUGAUCGGCCACACUGGGACUGAGACACGGCCCAGACUCCUACGGGAGGCAGCAGUAGGGAAUAUUCCGCAAUGGACGAAAGUCUGACGGAGCAAUACCGCGUGAGGGAAGAAGGUUUUCGGAUCGUAAACCUCUGUUAUAAGGGAAGAACAAGGUAGAUAGGGAAUGAUCUACUGAUGACGGUACCUUAUCAGAAAGCCACGGCUAACUACGUGCCAGCAGCCGCGGUAAUACGUAGGUGGCAAGCGUUGUCCGGAAUUAUUGGGCGUAAAGGGCGUGUAGGCGGUAAGAUAAGUCUGAUGUGAAAGCCCUCGGCUCAACCGAGGAAUAGCAUUGGAAACUGUCUCACUUGAGUACAGAAGAGGAGAGUGGAAUUCCAUGUGUAGCAGUGAAAUGCGUAGAUAUAUGGAGGAACACCAGUGGCGAAGGCGACUCUCUGGUCUGAUACU
This 720-nucleotide ribosomal RNA is filed under the name uncultured bacterium. RNAcentral describes it as "bacterial SSU rRNA". It matches the Rfam family "Bacterial small subunit ribosomal RNA", at positions 65 to 741 of the family's 1533-position model. The record is from RNAcentral.